Long non-coding RNA from Ictalurus punctatus (channel catfish), 616 nucleotides. NCBI's taxonomy places the organism in Eukaryota, Metazoa, Chordata, Actinopteri, Siluriformes, Ictaluridae. The record is from Ensembl.
GGAUGACAGCUGGGCAGUUCUGUCUCACAGUAAAGACAUCGGAUCAAGAGCCACCGAACAGAACCCUGAGUAAACUCUCAGAACAGCCAGACGGGAGAGAAGCCCAGAGGUACACCGUCGCCCAUCGAACCGUCAUCAGGCUGUACAGGAAUCUGCAGUCAUGCAGCAAUAUAAAGGAGUAUAAAGGUCACGAUCACAGAGCAGAUUGUUGCAUGUAUCGGGACAGUUCAGGAGUGUGCAGCCAUUACAGGUUCACUUCAGCGUCUCAGAGCGGUGAGGAACCUCUCCACAGGGAACAGACUUUAGAAAUCGCAGAAGGUGUCUCUCGCUCAGAGAAACAGGUGCCCAUCGCUGAAGUCCAGACAUUUUCUCGAGGCCGGAGCGAUAGUGAAAGUCAUGACGAUAACCUGCCCAGAACACAUCGCCUCCUUUUCUUCAUCAUCAUCCUCAUCCUUCUCCUCCUCACGCUCUUGGUUUUAAUCCCCUACAUGCAAUACGAACAGACGUCACCGUGCUUUUAGAGAUAUUCAGCACACUGUAAUAUCUUACACGUAUACACGUGGCGUUCCCAGCACACUCUUCUGAGACAACAAUCAUUAAACCUGUAAACCUCUGC